This 226-nucleotide ribosomal RNA is filed under the name uncultured bacterium. Its description in RNAcentral is "partial 16S ribosomal RNA". It matches the Rfam family "Bacterial small subunit ribosomal RNA", at positions 99 to 334 of the family's 1533-position model. The record is from RNAcentral.
CGGACGGGUGAGUAACACGUGGGUUAUCUACCCUUAGGUGAGGAAUACCGGCGAGAAAUCGCCGACAAGACCGCAUACGCUUCUCACGAAGCAAAGCCCCGCAAGGGGUGCCUGGGGAUGAGCCUGCGGCCGAUUAGCUAGUUGGUGGGGUAACGGCUCACCAAGGCGACGAUCGGUAGCUGGUCUGAGAGGAUGAUCAGCCACACUGGGAUUGAGAACGGCCCAG